This 907-nucleotide ribosomal RNA is filed under the name uncultured bacterium. RNAcentral describes it as "bacterial SSU rRNA". It matches the Rfam family "Bacterial small subunit ribosomal RNA", at positions 516 to 1428 of the family's 1533-position model. The record is from RNAcentral.
CGCGGUAAUACGGAGGAUGCAAGCGUUAUCCGGAUUCAUUGGGUUUAAAGGGUGCGUAGGCGGCCAUUUAAGUCAGUGGUGAAAUCCUGCCGCUUAACGGUAGAAUUGCCAUUGAUACUGAAAGGCUUGAGUCCAGUUGAGGUAAGCGGAAUGUGUAGUGUAGCGGUGAAAUGCUUAGAUAUUACACAGAACACCAAUUGCGAAGGCAGCUUACUAAACUGGCACUGACGCUGAUGCACGAAAGCGUGGGGAGCGAACAGGAUUAGAUACCCUGGUAGUCCACGCCGUAAACGAUGUUCACUCGCUGUUUGCGAUACACAGCAAGCGGCCAAGCGAAAGCAUUAAGUGAACCACCUGGGGAGUACGAUCGCAAGGUUGAAACUCAAAGGAAUUGACGGGGGCCCGCACAAGCGGAGGAACAUGUGGUUUAAUUCGAUGAUACGCGAGGAACCUUACCUGGGCUUAAAUGUAGAACGACAGAUUGUGAAAGCAGUCCUUCUUCGGACGUUUUACAAGGUGCUGCAUGGUUGUCGUCAGCUCGUGCCGUGAGGUGUCGGGUUAAGUCCCAUAACGAGCGCAACCCUUAUCGUUAGUUGCCAGCGGGUCAAGCCGGGGACUCUAGCGAGACUGCCACCGUAAGGUGUGAGGAAGGUGGGGAUGACGUCAAAUCAGCACGGCCCUUAUGUCCAGGGCUACACACGUGUUACAAUGGCCGAUACAAAGGGCAGCUACUUCGUGAGAAGAUGCUAAUCUCCAAAGUCGGUCUCAGUUCGGAUCGAAGUCUGCAACCCGACUUCGUGAAGCUGGAUUCGCUAGUAAUCGCAUAUCAGCCAUGAUGCGGUGAAUACGUUCCCGGGCCUUGUACACACCGCCCGUCAAACAAUGGAAGCUGGGGGUACCUGAAGUC